Molecule: long non-coding RNA, 831 nt
Organism: Sorghum bicolor (sorghum)
Lineage: Eukaryota; Viridiplantae; Streptophyta; Magnoliopsida; Poales; Poaceae
Exons: 3
Source: RefSeq, a predicted model, not a curated record
CCUUCGGUCGGAGGCCGAGAAGGCGGCCGAGAAGGCAGCUCAGGAAGAGCGCCUGCUCGAUCUAAAUCGGCGACUAGCCGACAAGGAUCGGGAGAAGAAAGAUCUGGAGGAGGAGAUUGGGCGCCUCCGAGAGGAAAGGGAGCGGCUCGACCAGGAGCAUACCGGUGCGCUGGAGGCCGAGCGCCAGGCUGGCGAGGAGCUGAAGAACAAGAGUCGGGAGUUGGCUGUGCUUAAAGUCAACACUAAGAAGCACCUCGACGAGCUGGUCAAGGAUCGGGACUCCUGGAAGACCAACUGUAUCAAAAUCUGGAAAGGAGUAGCCCCGGUGCUCGACUUGAUCAGCUCCGAGCUCCCUGAGGACCAGCCCCGCGCACCGAGACUGACCCCGGUCGAAAAGGCGCAACAGGCAUGGGUUGGCUUCAGCAGUUCAUCAAGGACGCCGGGGAGUUCGCCGGAGCACACGUCCUCAGCAUGGUACGUGCCCACUACCCCAUGAUCGACUUGUCCCGGCUGGAGAGGGGAUAUCCCAAGGAGGUUGGUCCGCAGGAGGCAGAUGACCUUCGUGUCGGCAUGCUCGAUCUGUCGUCGAUAGUGAUCGGCGACAUAAAUCUCUGUGGGACAUCAAGUCCCCUCAACCAGCCCAGAUCAGAUAGGUCAGCCAGGGAGUUGUCAGGGGCUUCCAUUGCAGGAGAUGGGCGGUCGACGCCUGCGGCCUCGACCAGCCAGACGCCGGUGGCCCCGACCCCUUCGGCGGGACAGGAGAGCCGUGCGGGUGAUCAGUCCGAACAGUAGGUCUGUAAAGUAGUCUAUAGGAGUAGACUAGAGACCGAC